This is a long non-coding RNA of Triticum aestivum (bread wheat), 3818 nucleotides long. RefSeq lists it as uncharacterized. The transcript is spliced from 5 exons. The record is from RefSeq and is a predicted model, not a curated record. NCBI's taxonomy places the organism in Eukaryota, Viridiplantae, Streptophyta, Magnoliopsida, Poales, Poaceae.
UUUUCUUCGUCGGGUUUUUAUUCGUCCCCGCGCGCCCCUCCACGAUCCCUACCCAGGUCGCCGCACGCCGCCGCCGCCGCGAAUCCCCGGGGACGCCGCACGCCGCCGCCGCGAAUCCCCAGGGACGCCGCACGCCACCGCCGUCGUGAAUCACCAGAGACGCCGCUCGCCACCGCCGGGAAUCCCCAGGGAUGUCGCUGCCACCGCCGCGGAUCCCCAAGGGCGUGGUCGCGUGGCCCUGAUUGGAGGAGACCCUGCCGGCCUUGCCUUGUUUGGAGGACUGUGUGCGUCAAUCCCGACCUUCGCUUUCCCCCUUUUCCAUCAAGGACCGCCGCCGCUGCUUCGUCUUCUAUCUCUCCGGAUCCCCAUCAGCACCUGCUGGAUGGUGCUCCGGGAACAGGGCCGCACGGAGGCCCUCCUCCCGUAGGUUGUGCAGACGCGGCGCGCCUUGCAGCGGCUAUUCGGGAUGAGCGCGGGCGCGACAACCUUGUCCCAGUCGAUGAUGGCGGCGGCGAACGCCGGUGCUCCUUAUCGUCCUCUACCUCCAAGGACGCGCACCGGUACAGCUCAGACACCCCCGUCCCCAAAUCCCGUCCACCCAUCCGGCGUUGUCCAGCUCAUCCUCACGCUCGUGGAUUCGCCUCCUCCUGUACGCGACACUUGAAACGUGGACGUGGUGAGCUUCCCCUCUCUCUACCCCCAAAUCUGGAUGGCACUAGCAUCUGUUACAUACAUACAUAUGGAUAAACAUCUUGGUUUGGUUCUUUGGUUCAGUUUGUAUUCAGUCUGUAUGCGUCUAGAUGUGAAUGGCACUUGCAGUAUAUGGCUGCUCCUUGGUUGUCCAUUUGUAUGCGUCCAUAGGUAUGUAAACGGCCGCUCCUUGAUUGUUAUUUUGAACAAAACUCCCCCUUAAUUCUUCCUGUACUGAAAUGAAUCCUUGGAAGCUAGCACUACAUGUCUGUUGUUGCUGUCAUCUUGUACUACAUGGCUUUUUCCAAUUUAAUUUCAGUCAAGUUUAUGUGAAUAUAAUCUCCUUUGAUCUGAUGUUUUGGUCUGACUAUUUACAUUUUAAUUAUCAUGUACGUACUAAUGCAUUCUCAGAUAUUUGGUCGGUGUUAUCUUCUAAAAUAAUAGUAAAUGCAAUCCUUAAAUAGAAGUAGAAGAAGCAUGUCCGCAAACAGAAUUGUACAUUUUCAUUCCUUUGUAGAAGUGUAAUAGAUUAUUUCUUGAAAACACAAAGAUUUCAAGUAUAGCGUCAGAACAAAGAUACAAACUAUAAUUUCAACAUCCGGUAAAUGAUAUAUACAGCGAGUUGGGCGUGUCAAAUGUUGAUGCACAAACAGAAUACAUUGGAUUAAUUAUGUACUUUUUAGAACAGUUCGGAAUACAUAUUGGAAGAACAAAUUAUGUUAUGUUCCCGGCCCAUCUCUUUCCGCUAUCUUGCUGCUGCAGGACCUGGGAGUUUUAGUGGCUAAUAUAAUUUUGACAAUUUUGCUGCAAUAUCUUCAGUUUCUCUAUUGAUUCGGAUAAUUUUGCUGCUCCAAUAGUCUGAAGUAGAAUCUCCGUCUUCUAUCUCAACGUCGGCGGCCCGGUGACGCGACCAGAUCACUGCAAAUUGUCCCUUCAGUCUUGAUCAAUAACCAGAUAUUGGCAAGCUUGAGUUAUCCAUGGAUGCAUGGAAAAGAUUAUUCAUUGUUGUGAUAUGCAUAUCUGUAGGAUUAAAUUAAUCUGAAUUAUGAGCUAUGUCACACUUUGCAGAGUACAGAGACUUCAGUUCACAUAAUCUGUUUGUACAUAUGUUGAUGUCAGGUGGAGGUGGUCGUGCUGGCGCCACUGUUUUGCUUCGUGCUGAUGCGGUAUAAAAGUGCCUCCUCGGCAGAUGAGGACCUGAGCGUGGCCGUGCUAAUGAGGAUGCAGGAUCCACCGCCACCGGCCAGUCCGAGUGCGUUGUUGUUUUCAUUAUUUGGGUCCUAGGGAUUUCGAAAUCAGGUGUUCGCCCCUGAUGAUUUCCGGGAGAUAAACUGAUUUCAUUGGCAUCAUCUAUUUCAUUGCCUCACCAAUAUCCAUGUGAGCCUGAGUUGUAAGUGGAUGUACACAUUGCGUGGCUAUGUUCCUGCAGGUGAUUGCAGAGAACUUGGCAGGCAGAUCAAUUACGAGGAGGUCAAGGCUGAGCUGAAGUGGGGUGGGCGCCAACAUGAAGGAGCUGGAGAUAUCUCUAUUUUUGUCAAUCAUUAUUCAGGCUCUAAGCUUCCCCUUUCCCUAUACCACAUUACUUGAUAUUAUUAAAUUCAGUACGCUUACUCAACUGUGAACAAGUUCAUGUGGUAAGUAGGAUCAACAAGAGUUGGCUGGCAACUGCUAUGUAUAUGUUAUUAUGGAUCAGCCAAGGUGGUUAAAUUUUAAUUUUUUUUCCUUUUUCUUAAUUUAUGCCCUUAAGUUUAUGCUGUUAAAUGCAUACACAUAACUUAGUUCCAGAUUUAACAAGAGUACAUUUUACAAUGAACUUCAUAGCUGAUGUUGAUCAUAAUUAGUAAGUGUACAAAGCAUUUCAAGGAAUUUCUGUUUUGUGCAUAUUGUAUAUUGCAGACUUGCAGUGAAGUAGUGCCAUCUAAGUACCAGAUGUAUGUUAUUUUCAAAUAAGCUUUUCUUAAAAUGGAAAAUACUAAAAAGCAAAUUGUGCCACACCGUGCAAUUAAGGUGCCUUUUACUGGAAACUCAAUGCAACUUCUUGUUAUUUUCAAAUAAGCUUUUCUUAAAAUGGAAAAUACUAAAAAGCAGAUUGUGCCACACCGUGCAAUUAAGGUGCCUUUUACUGGAAACUCAAUGCAACUUCUUGUUAUUCCUUCUGAACCUAGCAAUUAAGCCAUAUCUUGUUUUCACUCCUUCUGAACCUAGCAAAAUGACCUGCUUGGACCGAACGAGGACAGGUGUGUGGUGGUGGACAUAAGAUGCACGGCGAACAUUGAGCUACAGAAGAACAUUAUGAAAGAGGUUGGAGAGGCUGGAGGAGACCAUAUACCAACACAAAGCGCAUCUUGAUGGCCAUCAAUGAGGAGCUGGACCUGCUACACCAGGCUAAUUGCAAGCAUCGGGAUGAUUUGGACGAGAUGACUGAUGAGGACAUGAGCGUUGUCGGAUGAUUUGGACGAGAGGACUGUAGCACGACGCAAUGAAGAGCUAGAUCGUCCGUCCGCUCCCAGCUCACUUCCCAGUUCUGUUGUGCUGCCCCGUGCACCAACCAUCCAGUAAAGGUUCUGAGGUUAACAUCUCUUUUGCGAGUUUCGUAUAACUUUCGUUGUCACUUUAUUAUCUAUUGAUCCACAUGUUUGUAUUUUAGCAGACAUGAGUACUUUAUCAUCUUUCCAGGAAGAAAUUACUAGAGAGAAGAAAACCCAGUUUUACAAGUAGUGACAGUCCAACAUCAUAUUGACACGUCUGGUUUCUCUUUCCACAAGCAGGGUCGAGUGGGUUGAAAAUAAAUGCUGGAAAAGAUAUUAAAAUUCAAAUCUGGCUUAUUUUUCUCAAUAUGGGUUCAGAAGGAAAUUGUCGUUGAGCUUCUAUCUAAAGAUACCCGUGAGCCCGCUGUUGAACUCGCUAAAAAUGGAGAUAGACAUGGAUUUAACGGUUCUCAUUCAUUUAAAUCUUAGUGAAUUGAUACCAGUUUCCAUUUGGAACUGAGAUAACGAGGAAUCGUUUCCUUCAUGAUACUGCAUGUAUGAGCUUUUUUCUUUCGGUGUAGGCCAAUAUUGUACAAAGUUAUUUCCUAAAAUUAUAUUCGAAGGUGUCUUCUAUGAGAGUAACCAUCUCAAUCUUUUUUC